Drosophila ficusphila is the source of this 3275-nucleotide long non-coding RNA. RefSeq lists it as uncharacterized. The record is from RefSeq and is a predicted model, not a curated record. The transcript is spliced from 3 exons. Lineage: Eukaryota; Metazoa; Arthropoda; Insecta; Diptera; Drosophilidae.
CUUCGGAUGAGGCUGCAGCCCUGGUGUGCAGAAAUUCGCACACAAAUUAAACAUUGUCUGGCGUCUCUGACCGACAUCGACAUCAACGUCUCGCCGGCAAUUCUUCGCGCGACGCUUUCUUUGAGUAAUGGACAGAGCGCAGAACACGCAUACGCACACAGACGCGGUCAAGACAAUAGGUUCAGGACCUCACGAAGCUAUAGAAAUGGAUUAAUAUUUGUUUUCUAAUAUUUUAUUAUUAUAUAUAAUUAAAAGAAGUAACAAUUACUUUAAGAAGUGGUGUUUCAAUGUUUAAUGCUUAUUUAAUCAUUUUCUUUGAUUCUUUUAUUUUAUUUUUGAGACCAAGGCCCUACUCCUUCGAAGCGGACUGUAUUCAAGUGCUGAUACCUCGUACCUUACCGCACUGCGACGGGAGAUAGGGCACGGACACGGCUAUAUACAUACCAGAUCAUUCCUAAAUUCAAAUUCAGAUUCACUUGCCCACAAAAUUAGAAAUUUAAAGCGAGCAGCAGAGCGAAAGGCACACAACAAUAUAAAAUCGCAACAUUUUUCAGCGGCUAAAAGUAGCAGACAAAGGGAGAGGCAGCAACCUUAAUAGAUUCGCCAUAAAAGCAAUAAAAAUGGGAGACGAUCUUGUAAAAUGCAGUGUUAGCAUUGAUUUAAUGCUGCUAUUUAAAUACUUAUAUAAAUCAUAAAUAAUUUAAAAUAACUCUAUUUAAAUUUAGUGAAAGAUAAUGGAUGUUUGUAAAAAGUAAAAAAAAAAAACAAUUCUAAAAGCCAAACAAAUGUUCUGGCUCCUCAAUCCACCUCUUGGUUCCUCCCCCGCAAAUUUUAUUUAAAGUUCUUUGGGGGGCGCUUGGCCAUUACUCCGAAUGCUUUUCCCUGUUUUCUCUGCUUUCUAAGAGCACUGUCUGGGAAUGCCCAUCGCCCAAGGCGGACGAAUGCGUAGGCGUCCCCCACUUUUGGAAGACACUUUGUUGUUUGUGCAAUUAAAUAUUGAAUUACUUAAGUAAAAUAUUCUGUUUUGUAAAAUUAUAUCAUGAAGAAUUAGCUUAGAAUAAAGUAAACCUAGACUCAAAUAUAUUAUUUAAGGUAAAGUAAUGCAUGACUCCGUUUUCACUGCCACAUAUGGAGGUUUCCUUCAAAUUCAGUCAGUUUUCAGAGGGCAGGGCGGCUGACUGACACAGAGAUUCUGUUGUGUUGUGCCACAUAUGCAUUCCAUUCACCCACAUGGGGGAUGCCGAGAAUGCCGAAGAACAAGAACUGGAACUGUGGCCCAAUCAUUACAACUCAAUCAUCGGUCGAAAAUAGCAAGUUUCCUCCGAGAUUCCGUUUCCAUCCAUUUCCCGUAUUUUUGGAAGCCACGGAGGGGUCCAACUGCCGGAAGAGCACCCCAUCGCAGCCCAGAUUCCCCACUGAACACGGAACACAGAGCACAGAAGCUCUGCAGCGAUCUCUCGGUGAUUUAGGAACACUAAACCCGAACCGACGUGGGGGAAAGAAAAUACGCACAAAGGGGGAGGAUUCCUCUGGCUCUUCUGCGUGUUCUUCCGCAUGGAGGCGGAAUGCCUCUUUGUGGGCGUUGAAACCCAGAUUUUCGUGUAAUUAAAUCCGUCGAAAUGGUAAUAGAUCCGAGUGUUUAUGGCCAGACAUUAUUGAGCAUAGCGUUUUCCUGAAAGCUAUGUCACACCAAAAAAUGUUAAAAAUAGUCGCAGACAUGCUAAAGGCAUUUACAAUAUAAUAUCAUUGUAGAACUCUUAUUGGAAUACCAAACACUCCUACCGAAAUCGACCGCUUUAAAAGUUCCCAGAAAAUUACGAAAACAGAAGCACCUUUGUCACAAGCCGUCUGCUUGUCUGCAUUAUAGACCCGAGCAGUAGCUUCUAUAGGACUUGAUUAUAAUCCGGAGAUCCCGGGGUAGCACCACCCCAGAGUAUUAUGUUUCACUCCCGACUUCGGUUCCCAUCAGAGUCAAAGGCAAAAGGCAUUUCGGCCAAGGCGAAAGGGCCAAGAGGCUGCGACCGUUGAUCUUUACCGAUUUCCUGCCGAUCGCACGUAAUUGGGUGUCCCGCUAAAAAGUCAUAAUCACCUGUCCAUCCUUUAUCACGGCAAACCCAUACAGACACCUUUGGGAAACCGACGCCCGAGCCCCGAAAGUUUAAAGCUCCGUAAAGCGAUUUUUAUGCACCAAGUGCAUUUCGGACCUGCCGACCAGCCGAGAAAAACAGAGGAGAACCAAAGCGAACUUAACCGAACCGAACCGAGCCGAACGGACCAGAACAGAACAGCACAGCACAGCACAGAACAGAAAGACCAAAGACAAAUUCCUGCGUUUUUCCAGGAAUUCACUCAAUAAACUCAAACAAAACCCAAACAUUUAACAAACGAGCCCCAGCCCCAUCCACAGCCACAUCCACGGCCACAUACACGUCCAAGCCAAACAGCACGAACAAAAAGGCAAAACCAAAACCAAAACUAAAACCAAAACCAAGGCGAUCCCAGCCAGACGUCGACGAAGAUGCUGACCAAGACGGAAGACGGCGAGGAUGGGGAAUCUUGGAUGCUGAUGCUCAUAGUGGUGCUGCUGGUAGUGGAGGUAGAGGUGCUGGUGGGGUUGGUGGUGGGGAAGAAGACGACCAAGACGAAGACGAAGACGACGAUGCGAAGCGCUGAGCAAAACACAAAAUAAACCAAAAGGCAGGCGAGGAAUUUCAAACAAGAACACCACGGUGUUGUCGCACUCCACGAACUUGGAGCUGUGAAUGUGAAGCGGUCAUAGACCAGAGUGGAUGCAAAGUGGAGUAUCAGACGGGGAAAUACCCUUUAAACAAAGAUCCCACUUUUUGGUACAGCUACUGCUACUUUCCCCUAGGACAUACAUAUUCAUUAGGUGACCGGCUACUUAAUGAACCCGAAUCUUCCUGAAGCCGUGGUGUCAGUUUGUGGUGCAGUGCCGAAAAGGAGACAGGAGUCGGGAGACUGGAGACAGGAGCAGGAGUCGGGGAGGUGGCCCUGGCCAUUCUGGUGGGCGAGCAGACGCAGGAUGCCGGAUCCCAUGGCCGUCUGGCUGCAUUCCAAGUGCCGCAGAGCCAAACAAAACCAUUCCGAGCCAAACUGAACCGAACCCGAACCCGAAGAGCAGAAAGCAGUGGCAGCAGUGGAGGCAGUGGAGGCUGCCAAACCUAAUCCGACGACGACUCCGACUGCGACUCCGAUGAGAUGAGGAGUUGUCGUGCCAGGAGAAACAGGAGAAGCUGCCGGCAGCACAAGAUUCA